RNAcentral lists this long non-coding RNA (1208 nucleotides) under Panax ginseng (ginseng). Its description in RNAcentral is "long non-coding RNA (PGIN_LNC004014)". Lineage: Eukaryota; Viridiplantae; Streptophyta; Magnoliopsida; Apiales; Araliaceae. The record is from RNAcentral.
UUUAGUAGUCCUCACCAUUUUUGUAAAAUAAUGUAUCAAUAAUUAUGAUGGGGAUUUAUUUGCGUGUGGAUAUUGUCUAGACGGCAAUAUCUGUAUUUAAACUCACAGUAUGUAUUGUCGUAUUUCACACGACAUUUGUAUUAUUGAAGUUAUAGUUAUUUUUGUACCAUGUAUUUGGCGACUCAGAAUGGGUUGGGUGGAAUGGACCUAUUUUGGGGGCGUCACAAUAUUAGAAAACUCCUCCCCAUCACAAGAGUGUAUGAACACAGAAUUACUUGAGGAAGAAUAGGUCGGAUUUCCCCCAAAUCUGCAAAAUAAAGAACAAAAUCAAAUACUUGAAGUGCCCAAGAAAAAAAAAACAGAAGAACAAGCAGAAAUUUUAAACGGAUCUUGCUGAAAAAAAGAAAAUGGAGCUCAAAUUAACGUCAAACUACAAAAUUUCUGAAAAUUUAAAAUCAUUUAUUACGAAAAUUACAGUUUAUUAAAUUAGGUAAAAAGAAAUGAGAAAAAAAUAGGAAAAUCUCAGAAAAAAGCUCCCAAAAAAUUACAGUUUAGCUUAUAUGGUUUUCCAAUAAAAAUAACAGAACCAUAUGAGCAUACCUCGUUCACAGAGAAAAAGAAUAGCUUAGGACCACCCAAGCUCAACUCAAAACCCAAUACCCACCAUCCUGACCUUUAUAAGAAGAAUAACAAAACAAGCUACUAGAUAUACAAUUUACAUUUUAUACCAGAACUAAUCUCAUCCAUACCCAGAACAUCAUGUAAAUAUCUCGUGGAAGUUGCCCCUAUUUUGGGGCAAGAGCAAAACAGUCAAAGCUGUAGUAGUCCUGGACCUCUACGUGAUGAUCUUGAAGGGAGUCUGCUCAUGUCUGGUACAGAAGAAGGUCGCAUGGGUUCUUCUGUUCUUUGGGUGGAUUUGAAAUUAGGGAAGAACCCUAGAAAAUUGGGAAUCCUACUACGAUUUGGGGAUAGAUUGAGAAGAAAAAGAAGGGAUGAUGAUGGGAUGAAGCAAUUUGGAUUUCAUGAAUGAUGAAGAAGAGAGGAGACUGAAGUUUGAUCGGAGAGGAGAGGAAUGUUAAAGAGGAAGAAAGACAUUUCAGACAUUUACUUGUCAUUUUUGACUGUUAUAGCCUCUUCUCACGCGUUUUUGGCGUCUGACAUACACGCACAGUUAAGUUGGAUGAAAAAGGUAACGUUUUCACUUCAAC